UAACUCUGUGCUGCAGCCCACUAUCGCCUAACCGUUGCCCUUGCUGUAUUGUUUCUCGCCGGCGACCACCAGAGCCACGCCGUGUGCUUGCGCCUUCCAGCAAGUCAUGCAUGUUUGCCUAUGUGCUUCACUGGCUUGAUCAACACGUCAUCCGCACCUUGGUAUUAGUUCUUCUACAAUAUAUCAUUCUUUAUGCCUCCAUGCACUCAUUCAUGACAUUUAAUAUUCAGUCCAUCAAUCAUGAAUUAGCUUAUAAAAUUUCAUGUGCAGCAACGUAUUAUCUCUCCUUUACUUUGCCCCAUAAAUAAAUUCCUAAAGCUUUAAUCUCACGGUUUCCUUGUUUUAGCUAUAAUUCCAUCUCCUGAUGCUGCGUUAAGAUUGUAUCAACGUAGAUCAUGAGUUAGCCGCAAUAACCUCUCGUAUGUUAAUUUAUUAACUUGACUAGUGUGCAUGUAGCUGGUUUUUUUUUAAUUUUAAAAAGCGACACAAGUGUUACCCUCUAGUAUUUUUAUAAUGCGAUUAAUUAAUUACCUUUCUAUAUAAAAUCUUAGAAAAUUCAUAUCUCCUCCGUUUUAGCUUCGAUUUUCGUGAUCUUUACGUCCGCGAGAUCGUAGCGCUGCGUAGAAUCUUUUUAUGAACUCUCUAUACUGUUUUUAUAUGAUUGGUGUACUGUUCUAAUUGUAGUCUUGUUUGCUUCGUGUAUGUUGUCUCCGAUUGUUUGUGUGUUGAUGAUCAAUGAUCGAGUUUAGUCGGUAAACAAUUCAUGGUGAACAAGAGUACUUCAGUGAUCAAGAUCUGAGCCUUGGACAACUAGUGAGACCAGCAGGAUAAGCAAGAGCAAUUGGAUUAAGGCAAGUAUAGUAUUUGGGUUUUAUUUCUGUGACCAUGAUCCUGUGACU
This 899-nucleotide long non-coding RNA is filed under the name Sorghum bicolor (sorghum). Its description in RNAcentral is "long non-coding RNA (SBIC_LNC004706)". The record is from RNAcentral. Lineage: Eukaryota; Viridiplantae; Streptophyta; Magnoliopsida; Poales; Poaceae.